UGGGGAAUUUUGGACAAUGGGCGCAAGCCUGAUCCAGCAAUGCCGCGUGCAGGAUGAAGGCCUUCGGGUUGUAAACUGCUUUUGUACGGAACGAAAAAGCUCUCUCUAAUACAGGGGGUGAAUGACGGUACCGUAAGAAUAAGCACCGGCUAACUACGUGCCAGCAGCCGCGGUAAUACGUAGGGUGCAAGCGUUAAUCGGAAUUACUGGGCGUAAAGCGUGCGCAGGCGGUUUUGUAAGACAGAGGUGAAAUCCCCGGGCUCAACCUGUGAACUGCCUUUGUGACUGCAAAGCUGGAGUGCGGCAGAGGGGGAUGGAAUUCCGCGUGUAGCAGUGAAAUGCGUAGAUAUGCGGAGGAACACCGAUGGCGAAGGCAAUCCCCUGGGCCUGCACUGACGCUCAUGCACGAAAGCGUGGGGAGCAAACA
RNAcentral lists this ribosomal RNA (427 nucleotides) under uncultured bacterium. Its description in RNAcentral is "bacterial SSU rRNA". It matches the Rfam family "Bacterial small subunit ribosomal RNA", at positions 355 to 774 of the family's 1533-position model. The record is from RNAcentral.